Camelina sativa (false flax) is the source of this 2359-nucleotide non-coding RNA. NCBI's taxonomy places the organism in Eukaryota, Viridiplantae, Streptophyta, Magnoliopsida, Brassicales, Brassicaceae. The record is from RefSeq and is a predicted model, not a curated record.
UCUUCACCAAAUAGAAAAAAGCAAUGAGAAAGAAGUUUUAGAGAGAGCGUUCUAAUUGCGUAGUAGACUCAUUCUCUCUCUCUCUCUCUCUCGUUAAUGACUAUUGAAUAGUGAAGAAUUCAGAACAGAAUUAGGGGUUUUGAUGACCCAAACAACUAAACAACGACAGCAAUGGUAAAAUCCUCCCUCUUCACCAUCAUGUAAGAAUCGGUUACGAAUUAGCAGGAUAUGGCACAAGUGAGGAUCGGAGGACGACGUUGUUGGUUUUCCAAUGGCGAUUCGUCUGAUUUGAUCGACUAAGUCAAGAUCGGGGAGAGAUGCUUUGAAGAAUGAAUGAUGUUUCAUAACAAAAUCUUGGGCGGCGUGCUUACCGUGUGACAGAAUGAAGUCUUCCUUGUCCACUUUGAAUGAUUAUUCCAUUCCCCAUCCUUAAGUGAGUCAUAAGAAAUCUUUCAACCGAUGUAAAAGUCCUCUUUCUGCUCUUCAAUGAAGCCAGCCUAUUGGCAGUUAUCCUAGGAUUGUGGACAGGACUAUCAUCAACACUUAUUCAGUCUUUGGGGCUUUCGUUAGGGUUUGUUUAUGGUUUUCAUAUAGAUCGGGCCGGGAGAUGAUUUGAAGAAUGAAGAAGAAUCAUACCGCUCAAAUGUUUUGUUUUGUUUCAAUCAUCAACACAAUCACUCAUAGGUAUAUUGUUUGAACUUGAGAAAACGAUGGUCAAAAUCCUCUUCUUGAUGAUCUAUUUUGGGAGCUCCAGCUUUGCCUACCUGCACCACAAAACAAGUACACCACAUCUGCUACAAUUUCAUGAAUUUCAUCUUCAAACAAUGGCAAGGGCUAACCAGCAUACAGAGACGACAUCUUCAGUGUAUAAGCAGAUUCUAGUGAUUGAUGGUGGGAGAGAGGCAGCAGAGUCGUCAAGUUACCACGUCGAUCAUAAUCUCCACACAACUCAUCACCGAAUAGAUCAAGCUCAAUCAUGGACGCUAGAUAGACUCAAUAUAAUACAGGGAAAAACGAGUGAUAAAAACAUAGCUAUUGUGUGAGUUAGAGACCAUCUCUGCAACUUCAACGAAGAAGAAGAGAAACCGGUCAAGGAUAUUAGAACCAAUUAGCUACAACUCUUUCUUCCCAACGCCAGCCUUUGGAAAGAACAAGUCACUCCUACUGAUGUCUCGCAACAAUUUCCAAGAUGCAGCUGAGGUCAACAACAAGACUGCAGAUGCCAGGGGAUGCGACGUCUGAGCAGAUAGAAAACACGGAGAAUGUUUCUUUCCCAAACCACCACUGCAUUUUUCUCAAGGAGAGAUAAGUCGAUUGACCUUAAGGAAGAAGCAGAGCAAACUGCUAGAAGAAACAUAGCUAGUCUGCCAAUGCGUUCUGUUAUUUGAUGCACAACAUAUCUGCAAGCAUUUAAGGAAUUACAUUUUCAAAAAUAAUGGCAAGGGUAACCAGCAGCAUGCAGAGACAUCUUCAAUAGCUUCAACGGAAGUGUUUAAAGCAGUACAAUGAUUCGGGAGCCUCACCUUACUGAACCAAAGAGCCCUAUGCUCCAAAUAAGGGUUAUAAGCAGCAAAAACUAUUGCUGCCACACCAAAAUAUUUUUAUUCACUGAAUUGUUAAUAUUGUUGUGACCUUCAGUUCGACUCUUCACGGAGUUUUUCUUGAUACCAUUGCUGGUUUUGAUUGCAGGUGGAAAAUACAACAAAUGCAGAUGAGCAUGUUGUCUUAACCGCUUUCAAAUUUUUGAUCCAUAAUUGAGACUGAGAAUUUUAUGGUUUCCUUGUUGUUGCUUCACUUGCUUGUGUAGAUGGAGAUAUAUUUCUCACUUUCUUCUCAUAAUUAUGGAUGACCUAACAACAACGGACAUCAACAAUGGUCAUAUCUUCUCUAUACAUGUAUAUUUUGCUUGCUGGGUUCUGAAGUUCUUAGUGUCGAGAGAUCAGCUCUCAUCUUGAUAGGAGGUAGUAGAUGUUAUCUUCGGGUUGGCCGAGGGCACCCUUGGUAAAUCUCUUUCGCAGGAGCUUCUGGAGAAAAGUUUUUUGCUUUCUUAAGUCUAGUGUAUCUCCUAGGAUUUUAGCCUUUGGUCUUUGUCUUUGGUGUAAGGGUUUGUCCUCCUUCGUUAUGGGUUUGAAAUUUUCUGUGUUGUAUUGGUGCUUUUAGUUUCCCUUCCAUAGGGUUUAAGACUCCAGGGACAUAUCUGUCGUCCGCUGGCUUUAGCUUCUCUUGUUUGGGCGUUUGUAUUCCUCCUGGGUUCCAAAACAAAUUCAAUAAUAUAAUUCAGAUGACAAAAAAAAAUAUUAUGUAAGAAACAAGUUUGACUUUCUAGUUGAGGAAUCCGAACAGUGGUUAAGGCAAAGUU